Molecule: ribosomal RNA, 451 nt
Filed under: uncultured bacterium
Lineage: Bacteria
Description: bacterial SSU rRNA
Rfam family: Bacterial small subunit ribosomal RNA
Source: RNAcentral
ACGAACGCUGGCGGCAGGCUUAACACAUGCAAGUCGAACGGUUGUAGCAAUACAGCAGUGGCAGACGGGUGAGUAACACGUGGGAACCUUCCUAGGGGUACGGAACAACUCAGGGAAACUUGAGCUAAUACCGUAUACGUCCGUGAGGAGAAAGAUUUAUCGCCCCUAGACGGGCCCGCGUAGGAUUAGGUAGUUGGUGGGGUAAUGGCCUACCAAGCCUACGAUCCUUAGCUGAUCUGAGAGGAUGAUCAGCCACACUGGGACUGAGACACGGCCCAGACUCCUACGGGAGGCAGCAGUGGGGAAUCUUGGACAAUGGGCGCAAGCCUGAUCCAGCCAUGCCGCGUGAGUGAAGAAGGCCUUCGGGUUGUAAAGCUCUUUUACCAGGGACGAUAAUGACGGUACCUGGAGAAUAAGCCCCGGCAAACUUCGUGCCAGCAGCCGCGGUAAU